AGGCAACGUUACCCUUCAGUCGAGGAGGGAAGGCGGAACUUGUUUAGCUUGGCAUAAUUCCGAAAUGGCGACAAUAUUGUGUUGAUUUUAUCUGUGAACUCGUGGACGACGAACACCUAUUUUUUUAUGAGUUUCACGACUGUUGUGUCAUCCAUUGUGAUAUCAGGCAUUCGCAAAGAAUGUCAGCGUGCUGCAGUGACGAUGAUUGGUGUAAAUCAACAGAUCCACCAGGGAACUCCAGGGGAGUAUGAAAGGAGAUCGUAAAGCGCUGUCGCCGGGUUUUGCGUAACCCCAGACUCGUGGGUUUUUGUGGUGGGUUGGGUAGUUUUCGAUUUUGAAUCUGCCUUUGUGCCUCCCUCCUUCGGCUUCUUCGAGGGACUGGGCCGAUUCUCAAAAGUUCGAAGGGUC
Macrobrachium nipponense is the source of this 408-nucleotide long non-coding RNA. RefSeq lists it as uncharacterized. Lineage: Eukaryota; Metazoa; Arthropoda; Malacostraca; Decapoda; Palaemonidae. The transcript is spliced from 3 exons. The record is from RefSeq and is a predicted model, not a curated record.